GGGCAAAUCUUUCAAGAUUUUAAUGUCCAUCAGAAUAAGAUAUAUCCCCUCACAAAUUUUCAGUUGAAUCGGACAACCUGUUGUUGGGUUGCUGCCCUUAAAUUGGUUAUUUUAAGAAAAUUUUGCAGUUUUUGGUUAUUAUCUUGAAUACUAUUAUAGAUAGAGAUAAACUGUAAACAGCAAUAAUGUUCAACAAAGUAAGAUCUACAAAUAAGUCAGCAUGAUCAAAAUUGUUAGAGGACCCCCUAAGGAGUUAUUGCCCUUUAGAGUCAAUAUUAAACAACUUUUCCUCAUUUUUAUACGACCGUCGUCGUCCGAAUACUUUUAGUUUUCGCACUCUAACUUUAGUAAAAGUGAAUAGAAAUCAAUGAAAUUUUAACACAAGGAUUAUGACCACAAAAGGAAGGUUGGGAUUGAUUUUGGGAGUUUUGGUCCCAACAUUUUAGGAAUUAGGGGCCAAAAAGGGCCCAAAUAAGCAUUUUCUUGGUUUUCGCACUAUAUUUUUAGUUUAAGUGAAUAGAAAUCUAUGAAAUUUUGACACAAGGUUUAUGACCACAAAAGGAAGGUUGGGAUUGAUUUUGGGAGUUUUGGUUCCAACAGUUUAGGAAUUUAAGGGCCAAAAAAGGGCCCAAAUAAGCAUUAUUCUUGGUUUUUGCACCAUAACUUUAGUAUAAGUAAAUAGAAAUCUAUGAAAUUUAAACACAAGGUUUAUGACCAUAAAAGGAAGGUUGGGUUUGAUUUUGGGAGUUUUGGUCCUAACAGUUUAGGAAUAAGGGGCCCAAAGGGUCCAAAAUUGAACUUUGUGUGAUUUCAUCAAAAAUUGAAUAAUUGGGGUUCUUUGAUAUGCCGAAUCUAACUAUGUAUGUAGAUUCUUAAUUUUUGGUCCCGUUUUCAAAUUGGUCUACAUAAAGGUCCAAAGGGUCCAAAAUAAAACUUAGUUUGAUUUUAACAAAAAUUGAAUCCUUGGGGUUCUUUGAUAUGCUGAAUUUAAAAAUGUACUUAGAUUUUUAAUUAUUGGCCUAGUUUUCAAGUUGGUCCAAAUGGGGG
Molecule: long non-coding RNA, 1047 nt
Filed under: Mytilus galloprovincialis (Mediterranean mussel)
Lineage: Eukaryota; Metazoa; Mollusca; Bivalvia; Mytilida; Mytilidae
Source: RNAcentral